CGAUGGCGACCGGCGCACGGGUGAGUAACACGUAUCCAACCUGCCGAUAACUCGGGGAUAGCCUUUCGAAAGAAAGAUUAAUACCCGAUGGCAUAAUAGAACCGCAUGGUUUGAUUAUUAAAGAAUUUCGGUUAUCGAUGGGGAUGCGUUCCAUUAGGCAGUUGGUGGGGUAACGGCCCACCAAACCUUCGAUGGAUAGGGGUUCUGAGAGGAAGGUCCCCCACAUUGGAACUGGGACACGGCCCAA
RNAcentral lists this ribosomal RNA (247 nucleotides) under uncultured bacterium. RNAcentral describes it as "partial 16S ribosomal RNA". It matches the Rfam family "Bacterial small subunit ribosomal RNA", at positions 86 to 334 of the family's 1533-position model. The record is from RNAcentral.